GCCAAAGUGAAAAAAUAAUUCAACUAGUAUUAAUAUUUACAUCUCAAAAAUGUAUUGUCUUAUACAAAUGGCCUUCCAACACUUUGUUCCUUUGUAUCUCUGUUUUGAAUGUAUAUAGUAUGUGCAAGGUUGAAAGUUUCCACUGUUGAAUCAAUCUGAGAUGAUAGAAAACAAACCCAAUGGAUUAGUUAAAACUAUGUUGCCUUUUAAGUGAGGAAGAGCC
This is a non-coding RNA of Pelobates cultripes (western spadefoot toad), 223 nucleotides long. The record is from the annotation of a GenBank genome assembly. NCBI's taxonomy places the organism in Eukaryota, Metazoa, Chordata, Amphibia, Anura, Pelobatidae.